This 481-nucleotide ribosomal RNA is filed under the name uncultured bacterium. RNAcentral's name for it is "bacterial SSU rRNA". It matches the Rfam family "Bacterial small subunit ribosomal RNA", at positions 501 to 985 of the family's 1533-position model. The record is from RNAcentral.
CUACGUGCCAGCAGCCGCGGUAACACGGAAGGUCCAGGCGUUAUCCGGAUUUAUUGGGUUUAAAGGGAGCGUAGGCCGGAGAUUAAGUGUGUUGUGAAAUGUAGACGCUCAACGUCUGACUUGCAGCGCAUACUGGUUUCCUUGAGUACGCACAACGUUGGCGGAAUUCGUCGUGUAGCGGUGAAAUGCUUAGAUAUGACGAAGAACUCCGAUUGCGAAGGCAGCUGACGGGAGCGCAACUGACGCUUAAGCUCGAAGGUGCGGGUAUCAAACAGGAUUAGAUACCCUGGUAGUCCGCACAGUAAACGAUGGAUGCCCGCUGUUGGUACCUGGUAUCAGCGGCUAAGCGAAAGCAUUAAGCAUCCCACCUGGGGAGUACGCCGGCAACGGUGAAACUCAAAGGAAUUGACGGGGGCCCGCACAAGCGGAGGAACAUGUGGUUUAAUUCGAUGAUACGCGAGGAACCUUACCCGGGCUUGAA